RNAcentral lists this ribosomal RNA (1227 nucleotides) under metagenome. RNAcentral's name for it is "bacterial LSU rRNA". It matches the Rfam family "Bacterial large subunit ribosomal RNA", at positions 1710 to 2925 of the family's 2925-position model. The record is from RNAcentral.
GAACUCGGCAAAUUAACACCGUAACUUCGGGAGAAGGUGUGCCCCGGUAGCGUGUAGAGACUUGCUCUCGAAGCGCGAUGGGGUUGCAGUGAAAUGGUGGCUGCGACUGUUUAAUAAAAACACAGCACUCUGCAAACACGAAAGUGGACGUAUAGGGUGUGACGCCUGCCCGGUGCCGGAAGGUUAAGUGAUGGGGUGCAAGCUCUUGAUCGAAGCCCCGGUAAACGGCGGCCGUAACAAUAACGGUCCUAAGGUAGCGAAAUUCCUUGUCGGGUAAGUUCCGACCUGCACGAAUGGCGUAACGAUGGCCACACAGUCUCCUCCUGGGACUCAGCGAAGUUGAAAUGUUUGUGAAGAUGCAAUCUACCCGCGGCUAGACGGAAAGACCCCAUGAACCUUUACUGUAGCUUUGCAUUGGACUUUGAACCGGUUUGUGUAGGAUAGGUGGGAGACUGUGAAGCCGGGACGCUAGUUUCGGUGGAGUCAACCUUGAAAUACCACCCUGAUUUGUUUGAGGUUCUAACCUUGGUCCGUGAAUCCGGAUCGGGGACCGUGCAUGGUAGGCAGUUUGACUGGGGCGGUCUCCUCCCAAAAGGUAACGGAGGAGUACGAAGGUACGCUUAGGGCGGUCGGACAUCGCCCACAAAGUGCAAUGGCAAAAGCGUGCUUGACUGCGAGACCCACAAGUCGAGCAGGUACGAAAGUAGGUCAUAGUGAUCCGGUGGUUCUGUAUGGAAGGGCCAUCGCUCAACGGAUAAAAGGUACUCUGGGGAUAACAGGCUAAUUCCUCCCAAGAGUUCAUAUCGACGGGGGAGUUUGGCACCUCGAUGUCGGCUCAUCACAUCCUGGGGCUGUAGUCGGUCCCAAGGGUAUGGCUGUUCGCCAUUUAAAGUGGUACGCGAGCUGGGUUUAAAACGUCGUGAGACAGUUUGGUCCCUAUCUGCCUUGGGCGCUGGAAAUUUGAAGGGGGCUGCUCCUAGUACGAGAGGACCGGAGUGGACGAACCUCUGGUGUACCGGUUAUGACGCCAGUCGUAUCGCCGGGUAGCUAAGUUCGGAAGAGAUAAACGCUGAAAGCAUCUAAGCGUGAAACUCGCCUUAAGAUAAGAUUUCCCGGAGUCUUGAACUCCCUGAAGGGUCGUCGAAGACCACGACGUUGAUAGGUCAGGUGUGGAAGCACAGCAAUGCGUUAAGCUAACUGAUACUAAUUGCCCGUGCGGCUUGAUCC